RNAcentral lists this ribosomal RNA (1372 nucleotides) under uncultured bacterium. RNAcentral's name for it is "bacterial SSU rRNA". It matches the Rfam family "Bacterial small subunit ribosomal RNA", at positions 28 to 1381 of the family's 1533-position model. The record is from RNAcentral.
GAUGAACGCUGGCGGCGUGCCUAAUACAUGCAAGUCGAGCGAACGGACGAGAAGCUUGCUUCUCUGAUGUUAGCGGCGGACGGGUGAGUAACACGUGGAUAACCUACCUAUAAGACUGGGAUAACUUCGGGAAACCGUAGCUAAUACCGGAUAAUAUUUUGAACCGCAUGGUUCAAAAGUGAAAGACGGUCUUGCUGUCACUUAUAGAUGGAUCCGCGCUGCAUUAGCUAGUUGGUAAGGUAACGGCUUACCAAGGCAACGAUGCAUAGCCGACCUGAGAGGGUGAUCGGCCACACUGGAACUGAGACACGGUCCAGACUCCUACGGGAGGCAGCAGUAGGGAAUCUUCCGCAAUGGGCGAAAGCCUGACGGAGCAACGCCGCGUGAGUGAUGAAGGUCUUCGGAUCGUAAAACUCUGUUAUUAGGGAAGAACAUAUGUGUAAGUAACUGUGCACAUCUUGACGGUACCUAAUCAGAAAGCCACGGCUAACUACGUGCCAGCAGCCGCGGUAAUACGUAGGUGGCAAGCGUUAUCCGGAAUUAUUGGGCGUAAAGCGCGCGUAGGUGGUUUUUUAAGUCUGAUGUGAAAGCCCACGGCUCAACCGUGGAGGGUCAUUGGAAACUGGAAAACUUGAGUGCAGAAGAGGAAAGUGGAAUUCCAUGUGUAGCGGUGAAAUGCGCAGAGAUAUGGAGGAACACCAGUGGCGAAGGCGACUUUCUGGUCUGUAACUGACGCUGAUGUGCGAAAGCGUGGGGAUCAAACAGGAUUAGAUACCCUGGUAGUCCACGCCGUAAACGAUGAGUGCUAAGUGUUAGGGGGUUUCCGCCCCUUAGUGCUGCAGCUAACGCAUUAAGCACUCCGCCUGGGGAGUACGACCGCAAGGUUGAAACUCAAAGGAAUUGACGGGGACCCGCACAAGCGGUGGAGCAUGUGGUUUAAUUCGAAGCAACGCGAAGAACCUUACCAAAUCUUGACAUCCUUUGACAACUCUAGAGAUAGAGCCUUCCCCUUCGGGGGACAAAGUGACAGGUGGUGCAUGGUUGUCGUCAGCUCGUGUCGUGAGAUGUUGGGUUAAGUCCCGCAACGAGCGCAACCCUUAAGCUUAGUUGCCAUCAUUAAGUUGGGCACUCUAAGUUGACUGCCGGUGACAAACCGGAGGAAGGUGGGGAUGACGUCAAAUCAUCAUGCCCCUUAUGAUUUGGGCUACACACGUGCUACAAUGGACAAUACAAAGGGCAGCGAAACCGCGAGGUCAAGCAAAUCCCAUAAAGUUGUUCUCAGUUCGGAUUGUAGUCUGCAACUCGACUACAUGAAGCUGGAAUCGCUAGUAAUCGUAGAUCAGCAUGCUACGGUGAAUACGUUCCCGGGUCU